UACAGAGGGUGCGAGCGUUGUCCGGAAUCACUGGGCGUGAAGGGCGCGUAGGUGGCCACCAUAAGGCCGCGGUGAAAGUUCGGGGCUCAACCCCGAAUCGGCCGCGGCGACUGUGGGGCUUGGGUACCGUAGAGGCAGAUGGAAUUCCGGGUGUAGCGGUGGAAUGCGUAGAGAUGUGGAGGAACACCGAUGGCGAAGGCAGCCCCCUGGGCCAACACUGACGCUCAGGCACGAAAGCGUGGGGAGCAAACAGG
Molecule: ribosomal RNA, 254 nt
Filed under: uncultured bacterium
Lineage: Bacteria
Description: partial 16S ribosomal RNA
Rfam family: Bacterial small subunit ribosomal RNA
Source: RNAcentral